RNAcentral lists this long non-coding RNA (644 nucleotides) under Callithrix jacchus (white-tufted-ear marmoset). RNAcentral's name for it is "lncRNA (ENSCJAG00000086118.1)". Lineage: Eukaryota; Metazoa; Chordata; Mammalia; Primates; Cebidae. The record is from RNAcentral.
GUACGAAUGUGCUGGGGAAAGAAAAUUGUAUUUUCAUCGAGUGUUUCUAAGAAGAACAAUAUUUCCUUGUAGCCAGAAAUCCUUAAGGCAGGAAGUGAGAGGAAGUGAGCCAUGUGCCUGAGAUGAAGCAGGAGUGGUGCAGGAAGAAUCAAAAGUGAAUCACUCCAGCGGAAGUUCCAAGGAAGUCCUUUCAUUGGCCAUGGUCUUGGAGAAGAUGGGUGUUCCUCCCAGGUUAAAAGUCCCCUUCUUCCACACCCCUUCGGACUCCAUGUUUGGAUCCCCUUCCACUCUGGUGGAAGCCGUCUUUGUCUCUCCCAAAUUUCAUCUCUGAAGUCCUCUUCCACACUCUCUUGUGGAGCCUGUCCUCCCCUCCUAUGCUCCGUCUCUCCCUCUAUUCCCUUCCAGUUAGUGUGGAAGCUGCUUUCCUCUCCUGGAUUCCAUCUGUCUGGAUUUCCCCACUCAGUGUAAGAGUUAGCUGUUUCUUUCUCUCUUCUUCUCCUUUUUCUCUUUCGUUACCUAAAUAAAGUCACUUUCUACAAGGACUUUUGAGUUCAGCAUUUACUUUUACGAGCGCACUGUACCGUGGUCUCCUCUCCCAUUCUUGGGGAGCGAUAGACCAAGAACCUGGAGAAACAGCCUCUCGG